GACGAACGCUGGCGGCGUGCUUAACACAUGCAAGUCGAACGGAAAGGCCCUGCUUUUGUGGGGUGCUCGAGUGGCGAACGGGUGAGUAACACGUGAGUAACCUGCCCUUGACUUUGGGAUAACUUCAGGAAACUGGGGCUAAUACCGGAUAGGAGCUCCUGCUGCAUGGUGGGGGUUGGAAAGUUUCGGCGGUUUGGGAUGGACUCGCGGCUUAUCAGCUUGUUGGUGGGGUAGUGGCUUACCAAGGCUUUGACGGGUAGCCGGCCUGAGAGGGUGACCGGCCACAUUGGGACUGAGCUACGGCCCAGACUCCUACGGGAGGCAGCAGUGGGGAAUAUUGCACAAUGGGCGGAAGCCUGAUGCAGCAACGCCGCGUGCGGGAUGACGGCCUUCGGGUUGUAAACCGCUUUCGCCUGUGACGAAGCGUGAGUGACGGUAAUGGGUAAAGAAGCACCGGCUAACUACGUG
Molecule: ribosomal RNA, 468 nt
Filed under: uncultured bacterium
Lineage: Bacteria
Description: partial 16S ribosomal RNA
Rfam family: Bacterial small subunit ribosomal RNA
Source: RNAcentral